RNAcentral lists this ribosomal RNA (312 nucleotides) under uncultured bacterium. Its description in RNAcentral is "bacterial SSU rRNA". It matches the Rfam family "Bacterial small subunit ribosomal RNA", at positions 505 to 816 of the family's 1533-position model. The record is from RNAcentral.
GUGCCAGCAGCCGCGGUAAUACGUAGGUGGCAAGCGUUGUCCGGAAUUACUGGGCGUAAAGGGUGCGUAGGCGGUUCAUUAAGUGGGAUGUGAAAUACCCGGGCUUAACCUGGGAACUGCAUUCCAAACUGGUGAGCUAGAGUGCAGGAGAGGAAAGUGGAAUUCCCAGUGUAGCGGUGAAAUGCGUAGAGAUUGGGAGGAACACCAGUAGAGAAGGCGACUUUCUGGACUGUAAUUGACGCUGAUGCACGAAAGUGUGGGGAGAAAACAGGAUUAGAUACGGUGGUAGGCCACACUGUAAACUAAGAGUAC